Molecule: non-coding RNA, 21 nt
Filed under: Caenorhabditis elegans
Lineage: Eukaryota; Metazoa; Nematoda; Chromadorea; Rhabditida; Rhabditidae
Source: RNAcentral
UAAGAUUUUGGUCCCAAUGAA